GACGAACGCUGGCGGCGUGCUUAACACAUGCAAGUCGAACGGUGAACCUCUUCGGAGGGGAUCAGUGGCGAACGGGUGAGUAACACGUGGGCAACCUGCCCCCGGCUCUGGGAUAACUCCAAGAAAUUGGGGCUAAUACCGGAUGUUCACCGCUUCCCGCAUGGGUGGUGGUGGAAAGGGUUUCCGGCUGGGGAUGGGCCCGCGGCCUAUCAGCUUGUUGGUGGGGUAGUGGCCUACCAAGGCGACGACGGGUAGCCGGCCUGAGAGGGUGACCGGCCACACGGGGACUGAGACACGGCCCAGACUCCUACGGGAGGCAGCAGUGGGGAAUCUUGCGCAAUGGGCGGAAGCCUGACGCAGCGACGCCGCGUGGGGGAUGACGGCCUUCGGGUUGUAAACCUCUUUCAGCAGGGACGAAGCGCAAGUGACGGUACCUGCAGAAGAAGCACCGGCCAACUACGUG
This 463-nucleotide ribosomal RNA is filed under the name uncultured bacterium. RNAcentral's name for it is "partial 16S ribosomal RNA". It matches the Rfam family "Bacterial small subunit ribosomal RNA", at positions 28 to 507 of the family's 1533-position model. The record is from RNAcentral.